AAGAGGUGGGGCUGUGUGUGUGUGUGCGCAGAUAAGUGAUGUGUCCACCAUACACAUCAUUGAAACAAACUGUCUAUUUACAUAUUUGUGUGGAGAGACAGACAGACAGACAAACGGACGGAAGAUUGUCUUCAACUACUUAAUUUACCUGCUCUUGCCUUACAGUAAGGAGGUUGUGAGUUCAAUUCCUCUUUCUAAUUGAUGAUCUGUUUGUAUGGGGUUUACAGGUCGUCACUGUAGUUUUCACGUACUGCGGUCUCCUCCUACAAUAACACAUAGGAGUCAAGUCCCUGCUUAAAGAAUGUUGGGAUUGGCUACCGCUCUAGCCAAGAACCUGGAAGAAAAAGCAGUAGAGUGAAUGGAUCAACAAUCUCCCAGAACAUCGUAGACUUUUUAUUCUUUGUUGAGUCUCCUCCAGACUAGAUGGUCUUCUUAUCUUGUUUAGUCCACAGGUUUUACAUGGGAUUUUAGUCAUUGUUCUGUCCAUAACGGUUGCCAACAUCCAGCUCGGUCUUCUGCAGAGGGCUCUUCAUCUCUUUGAACCGUGUCAUGCGACUGAUAACAGUUUAACUGCAGUUUUUCCUUUUAUCAUCUUGUUUCUUGGGUGUGCAGUUAUUUUUGUUAUUUACUUAUCUAUUAUUUAGUGUACUUAUUUUGCCUUUAAUGUAUACUCGGCAAAAAGUAAAUGACAGCUAUAUCACAAAUAUGGUUCUUAGCUCUUAGGAUAUAUUCACUUGACAUUCUGAUAAGAUAUAAAAUAAACCACUGAACCCUUUAUUUGUACAAGUUUUUUCUUUAAAUCUUUUUUUGAUCUCUUCUUUCUGUAGUUUAACACAUUACUUCCGUAAACACACACACACACACUGAUACUCAGCCAGUGAACCUUCACACAAAUGUUUUAAACUAUAUUUAUUACUACUUCUGUCAAAAACAAAAAUUAAAGCAACAUAAAUCCAGAAAAGCUUUAUUUUCAUCAACUGAUUAUCAUCAUAGUGUGCACUUAAUACUGUAGCUUAGUCCCAUUAACACACUCUCCUACACACAUGGCAUCGACUCUGCCGUGGGACCAUUUAGCCCUUCCAUAAGUGAUCAAGACUUUUUUGUAGCGUGAACCUUUAAAGAAAUAAUAAAACAGGCAUGGUGGAAACAAAAAGUCACUAAAGCAGGUUCAGUAAAAUUCUCAGAGCACUUUCAAGUAAACUAAGGAGAAGUUAAUGUAGCGUUCUAUGACAUGUAGCCACCAAAAUCAUUACGGACAUGUUCACAUUCAUUUCACGGUGAAACCACACACACUCUCAGAUCCCAGAUGAUGUCAGGCCUGUGCAUCAUGUUGAGGUGGAAUGUUCUUCAGAGCCCUCAGCCUAGUGUCCUCUCAGCAGGCCGUGGCUCAGCAUUCAUCAAUCGGACCACAUCUAUGCAGCACGGACAUGGAAAGUGUGAUCCGAAAUAAAACCAAAAACAUUCCCACUUCUAAGGAGGCUUCAAAUCUUUCUGGAGAUUUCUGAUUUUUCUGUCAGGGGCCAUAAAACAUGGGGAGGCCAGCAGCGUUGGCCGACUAUCCUCAGCGUCGUAGACGCCUCACAGAAUUGGUCCACAGAGAGGUGAGGCUUUUAAAGGGCAUUAAAUAACUCACUCUCACCGUCUCCGUCUGUCUCUUUGCUCCACACACAGUGUCACUGCCGCAGCUUCUUGUGCUAAAUUACCAGAUGUUAAUGCGGUUGGAGACGCCGUGGAUGUUGUGGCUUAGCAUGUAAUAAAAAAAUAGAAAUUCUUGAUGUUGCUCUUCGCACCACCAUCUGUUCCAGAUCCAAACAAUCCUGCAGUCGUCUCCACCAGGCACGUGAGGAAGUUCAAGCGACAUCACAAAAUAGUUUAUGACCACUUUUGGUGAUCGUUCACGAGUUCCUCCAGAGGCACGGGGAAAAAAAAGAGGACCUUAUUUUAGUCUUUCACACUCGCUUUUGCCUGGAGCAGAAAAAUCAGCACAGUCCAAGGACAUGUCACAGUUUCACCAGACAGAACUGUUGAAGGUCCAGUGUCACCUUUUCACCGAGACUAGUUCGAACACACCAGACAAUUAAGACAGCGUUAGUGAGGAAUACAAAGUAAAAAAAGCUUAUGUCAGUGCAGCUACUUCUUGUCACCAUAACUGUAAAUAAUACAUUUGUAUUCACUCCAAACA
Molecule: long non-coding RNA, 2182 nt
Organism: Cynoglossus semilaevis (tongue sole)
Lineage: Eukaryota; Metazoa; Chordata; Actinopteri; Pleuronectiformes; Cynoglossidae
Exons: 2
Source: RefSeq, a predicted model, not a curated record